This 616-nucleotide long non-coding RNA is filed under the name Physeter macrocephalus (sperm whale). RNAcentral's name for it is "Physeter catodon (sperm whale) lncRNA (ENSPCTG00005014393.1)". The record is from RNAcentral. Lineage: Eukaryota; Metazoa; Chordata; Mammalia; Artiodactyla; Physeteridae.
CACCGGCAUAAUUAAUUCCCUCCACCUUCUCUCUAGCACCUCCCACGUCUUCUCUUUUUAUAGCAGUUCUUUCUCUCGGAAAAUCUCAGGUUACUUGACUGGGAGUUCUCAGACCUCCAGUUUCAGCCCUGCCCUCAGCCUCCAGUCAGUGAGAGACACCCAGCCCCAGCAAAUGGAUUGGGCAGCCCGUCUUGACACACCACUGUGCUGAGUGCUUGAGGACGUGUUUCACCAGAUGGUUGGGGUUAGCGUGUGUCAUCACAUUUGAGUGGGGAUUAGGAGCAGGAAGGCUGCCUCGCCGGAGCUGUGUGGUCUUCUCCAAGCGAGAGUUGCAGGCAAGAGAACUACUUGCUUGGGGAAGAAGAGGAGGAAUUCGUUGUCUGCAGCCACAAGAAAAGCAGUUUUUUCAGGUGCUGACAGCCAACCCCCAUCAUCUGAGGAAGGUGAAUUUGGCAAAUGACAUGCAGAUUCUCCAAGACAGAAUAAUUGCAGAAAAUCUUCAAAGGACCCCAUCUGCAGAUGUCCUGAAUACCUCUGAGUAUAGCAAUUGAUUAUUCAACCAGGAUACCUAAUUCAAGAGCUGCAGGAACCAGGAGACAGACAUUUUGUCCGUUUU